This 301-nucleotide ribosomal RNA is filed under the name uncultured bacterium. Its description in RNAcentral is "partial 16S ribosomal RNA". It matches the Rfam family "Bacterial small subunit ribosomal RNA", at positions 509 to 807 of the family's 1533-position model. The record is from RNAcentral.
CAGUAGCCGCGGUAAUACGUAGGUGGCAAGCGUUGUCCGGAAUUAUUGGGCGUAAAGGGCUCGUAGGCGGUUUCUUAAGUCUGAUGUGAAAGCCCCCGGCUCAACCGGGGAGGGUCAUUGGAAACUGGGAAACUUGAGUGCAGAAGAGGAGAGUGGAAUUCCACGUGUAGCGGUGAAAUGCGUAGAGAUGUGGAGGAACACCAGUGGCGAAGGCGACUCUCUGGUCUGUAACUGACGCUGAGGAGCGAAAGCGUGGGGAGCGAACAGGAUUAGAUACCCCCGUAGUCCCUGUCUCUUAUAC